CCUCUCCCAGUAUUUCUGCCACAAAUUGCUAGGAUUCUUCUGUAAUCCCAGGGAGGAGUUUAAAGGGACCUGACAUUUACUGAAAUGGAAUUUCUUUCCCACCAGGUGGAUGGAGACUUGGAGCAGAUAUAGUUUGAUUUUAAAAAAUUAAGCAGGUCACAAUUUCCCCAUAUAAGAAAACAAAUCAAGGAUUAUUGGAUACCUGUCUGUUGGAAUAAAAAUCUUGCAAGAGAGGAAUAGACUGAAAAAGGAGAGGUGAGUUUGUCCUCUGUCCCUGCCUCUACAAUAUA
RNAcentral lists this long non-coding RNA (290 nucleotides) under Ailuropoda melanoleuca (giant panda). RNAcentral describes it as "lncRNA (ENSAMEG00000028069.1)". Lineage: Eukaryota; Metazoa; Chordata; Mammalia; Carnivora; Ursidae. The record is from RNAcentral.